This 462-nucleotide ribosomal RNA is filed under the name uncultured bacterium. RNAcentral's name for it is "partial 16S ribosomal RNA". It matches the Rfam family "Bacterial small subunit ribosomal RNA", at positions 29 to 523 of the family's 1533-position model. The record is from RNAcentral.
AAUGAACGUUGGCGGCAUGGAUUAGGCAUGCAAGUCGGGGGAAUCCCAGCAAUGGGGGAACCGGCGUAAGGGGCAGUAAGGCAUGGGUACCUACCUUGGGGUUCGGGAUAGCCAUCAGAGAUGGUGGGUAAUACCGGAUGACGUCGUGAGACCAAAGAUUCAUCGCCCUUAGAGGGGCCCAUGUGAUAUUAGCUAGUUGGUGGGGUAACGGCCAACCAAGGCGAAGAUGUCUAGCGGGUGUGAGAGCACGACCCGCGCCACUCGCACUGAGACACUGGCGAGACACCUACGGGUGGCUGAAGUCGAGGAUCUUCGGCAAUGAGCGCAAGCUUGACCGAGCGAUGCCGCGUGAGCGAUGAAGGCCUUCGGGUUGUAAAGCCCUUUAGUGGGGGAGAAAAGCCGCAAGGCGUGAUCUAUCCCAAAAAUAAGCACGGGCUAAGUUCGUGCCAGCAGCCGCCGCCG